Pipra filicauda (Wire-tailed manakin) is the source of this 569-nucleotide long non-coding RNA. RefSeq lists it as uncharacterized. NCBI's taxonomy places the organism in Eukaryota, Metazoa, Chordata, Aves, Passeriformes, Pipridae. The record is from RefSeq and is a predicted model, not a curated record. The transcript is spliced from 3 exons.
CUACAUACUGUGAAGCUGGUUUAGCUCCCAAAGCAAGAGGCCCAUACAACUCAUUGGAAAUGUUCCCUGCCCAUGCCUAGCAGCUACCUAGGAGAGUCCAGAUCAGGGGCUGGUCUGGCAGGGAGACACUCUUCCCACAUAAUUUUAGUUGUCCAAAAACUGUAUGAAGUUUAAGCCUUCUAGUCUAUGGACUAUGAGAGAAAUAUCCAGAGAGCAGUUCACUGGUGCAAUAUGUGAAAUGAAAUGAAGAACCGGUCAGAUACACAUAUGCAUCAUGCAGCCACAGCCUCAAAAAUGUCAGAAGUUCAGAACAAGCAGAAAAGAUCACAUCCAGCUCCACUCCAAGAGCAACAAGUAUGCCCUGUUUGACCAGACAAUUAUAGGACUCCAACUGGAGGCUUUAGUCAACAGAGGUUGGACACAUAUACAUCUUUCCCUGUAGGUGCCUAAACUGCCAGAAGAAGGAGAAGGGUAGGCUGAGGGAGGAGACAUCAAGAACAAGUUAAAAUGAACUCUAGCAUGGGCUAUGUGAUAGAUGUAAUACAUGCUGAUCUUUAGCCAUCACUCUA